UAGGGAAUCUUCGGCAAUGGGGGCAACCCUGACCGAGCAACGCCGCGUGAGUGAAGAAGGUUUUCGGAUCGUAAAGCUCUGUUGUAAGUCAAGAACGGGUGUGAGAGUGGAAAGUUCACACUGUGACGGUAGCUUACCAGAAAGGGACGGCUAACUACGUGCCAGCAGCCGCGGUAAUACGUAGGUCCCGAGCGUUGUCCGGAUUUAUUGGGCGUAAAGCGAGCGCAGGCGGUUUGAUAAGUCUGAAGUUAAAGGCUGUGGCUCAACCAUAGUUCGCUUUGGAAACUGUCAAACUUGAGUGCAGAAGGGGAGAGUGGAAUUCCAUGUGUAGCGGUGAAAUGCGUAGAUAUAUGGAGGAACACCGGUGGCGAAAGCGGCUCUCUGGUCUGUAACUGACGCUGAGGCUCGAAAGCGGGGGGAGCGAACAGGAUUAGAUACCCUGGUAGUCCACGCCGUAAACGAUGAGUGCUAGGUGUUGGAUCCUUUCCGGGAUUCAGUGCCGCAGCUAACGCAUUAAGCACUCCGCCUGGGGAGUACGACCGCAAGGUUGAAACUCAAAAGGAAUUGACGGGGGUCAUAGCUGUUUCCUG
Molecule: ribosomal RNA, 590 nt
Filed under: uncultured bacterium
Lineage: Bacteria
Description: partial 16S ribosomal RNA
Rfam family: Bacterial small subunit ribosomal RNA
Source: RNAcentral